Molecule: ribosomal RNA, 1554 nt
Filed under: Escherichia coli
Lineage: Bacteria; Pseudomonadati; Pseudomonadota; Gammaproteobacteria; Enterobacterales; Enterobacteriaceae
Description: bacterial SSU rRNA
Rfam family: Bacterial small subunit ribosomal RNA
Source: RNAcentral
UUAAAUUGAAGAGUUUGAUCAUGGCUCAGAUUGAACGCUGGCGGCAGGCCUAACACAUGCAAGUCGAACGGUAACAGGAAACAGCUUGCUGUUUCGCUGACGAGUGGCGGACGGGUGAGUAAUGUCUGGGAAACUGCCCGAUGGAGGGGGAUAACUACUGGAAACGGUAGCUAAUACCGCAUAACGUCGCAAGACCAAAGAGGGGGACCUUCGGGCCUCUUGCCAUCGGAUGUGCCAGAUGGGAUUAGCUAGUAGGUGGGGUAACGGCUCACCUAGGCGACGAUCCCUAGCUGGUCUGAGAGGAUGACCAGCCACACUGGAACUGAGACACGGUCCAGACUCCUACGGGAGGCAGCAGUGGGGAAUAUUGCACAAUGGGCGCAAGCCUGAUGCAGCCAUGCCGCGUGUAUGAAGAAGGCCUUCGGGUUGUAAAGUACUUUCAGCGGGGAGGAAGGGAGUAAAGUUAAUACCUUUGCUCAUUGACGUUACCCGCAGAAGAAGCACCGGCUAACUCCGUGCCAGCAGCCGCGGUAAUACGGAGGGUGCAAGCGUUAAUCGGAAUUACUGGGCGUAAAGCGCACGCAGGCGGUCUGUUAAGUCAGAUGUGAAAUCCCCGGGCUCAACCUGGGAACUGCAUCUGAUACUGGCAGGCUUGAGUCUCGUAGAGGGGGGUAGAAUUCCAGGUGUAGCGGUGAAAUGCGUAGAGAUCUGGAGGAAUACCGGUGGCGAAGGCGGCCCCCUGGACGAAGACUGACGCUCAGGUGCGAAAGCGUGGGGAGCAAACAGGAUUAGAUACCCUGGUAGUCCACGCCGUAAACGAUGUCGACUUGGAGGUUGUGCCCUUGAGGCGUGGCUUCCGGAGCUAACGCGUUAAGUCGACCGCCUGGGGAGUACGGCCGCAAGGUUAAAACUCAAAUGAAUUGACGGGGGCCCGCACAAGCGGUGGAGCAUGUGGUUUAAUUCGAUGCAACGCGAAGAACCUUACCUGGUCUUGACAUCCACAGAACUUUCCAGAGAUGGAUUGGUGCCUUCGGGAACUGUGAGACAGGUGCUGCAUGGCUGUCGUCAGCUCGUGUUGUGAAAUGUUGGGUUAAGUCCCGCAACGAGCGCAACCCUUAUCCUUUGUUGCCAGCGGUCCGGCCGGGAACUCAAAGGAGACUGCCAGUGAUAAACUGGAGGAAGGUGGGGAUGACGUCAAGUAUCAUGGCCCUUACGACCAGGGCUACACACGUGCUACAAUGGCGCAUACAAAGAGAAGCGACCUCGCGAGAGCAAGCGGACCUCAUAAAGUGCGUCGUAGUCCGGAUUGGAGUCUGCAACUCGACUCCAUGAAGUCGGAAUCGCUAGUAAUCGUGGAUCAGAAUGCCACGGUGAAUACGUUCCCGGGCCUUGUACACACCGCCCGUCACACCAUGGGAGUGGGUUGCAAAAGAAGUAGGUAGCUUAACCUUCGGGAGGGCGCUUACCACUUUGUGAUUCAUGACUGGGGUGAAGUCGUAACAAGGUAACCGUAGGGGAACCUGCGGUUGGAUCACCUCCUUACCUUAAAGAAGC